RNAcentral lists this ribosomal RNA (547 nucleotides) under uncultured bacterium. RNAcentral describes it as "bacterial SSU rRNA". It matches the Rfam family "Bacterial small subunit ribosomal RNA", at positions 355 to 896 of the family's 1533-position model. The record is from RNAcentral.
UGGGGAAUAUUGCGCAAUGGGGGGAACCCUGACGCAGCCAUGCCGCGUGAAUGAAGAAGGCCUUAGGGUUGUAAAGUUCUUUCGGUAUUGAGGAAGGUUGAUGUGUUAAUAGCACAUCAAAUUGACGUUAAAUACAGAAGAAGCACCGGCUAACUCCGUGCCAGCAGCCGCGGUAAUACGGAGGGUGCGAGCGUUAAUCGGAAUAACUGGGCGUAAAGGGCACGCAGGCGGUUAUUUAAGUGAGGUGUGAAAGCCCUGGGCUUAACCUAGGAAUUGCAUUUCAGACUGGGUAACUAGAGUACUUUAGGGAGGGGUAGAAUUCCACGUGUAGCGGUGAAAUGCGUGGAGAUGUGGAGGAAUACCGAAGGCGAAGGCAGCCCCUUGGGAAUGUACUGACGCUCAUGUGCGAAAGCGUGGGGAGCAAACAGGAUUAGAUACCCUGGUAGUCCACGCUGUAAACGCUGUCGAUUUGGGGGUUGGGGUUUAACUCUGGCGCCCGUAGCUAACGUGAUAAAUCGACCGCCUGGGGAGUACGGCCGCAAGGUUA